Molecule: long non-coding RNA, 881 nt
Filed under: Lepidothrix coronata (blue-crowned manakin)
Lineage: Eukaryota; Metazoa; Chordata; Aves; Passeriformes; Pipridae
Description: lncRNA (ENSLCOG00000000851.1)
Source: RNAcentral
GGUUUAGAGAAGCAAGCUUCAAGAUUGCUUAAAGAUAGAUUGUAGGACCAAGACACAGUGAAGUUGCUUUGGAAAUGCAAAGCUGGUGCAUGCCAUAAGUAGAAGUUUGUCUCAUAUUGUUUCUCAGCUGAGUAAGUGGCUGAUUUUCAUCUUGGAGUUGUGUAACAUUAUUUCUUUCUGCAGGAAUACCAUUGGGAUACCAACUGCUGAAUUUUCUUGGGAAAAAAAGAAUGCCAUGGGGCACUUCCAUCAUGGUAAUGGGACAGAGUUUACCUCUGAUACCAGAGUGGGGAGCUGUGGUCACCUUGCCUGGAUCAUGCAAAAGGAACUGGAUGUUCUUUCAAGAGGACCGGAAAUAACAUCAGCCCUUCUAUUCCGUCAGGGGACUUGCCCACUGGAAACUGGAGCAACAUUUAUCCUUGAAGAAUUUCCUGCGGUAGUUGUUCUUCCUCUCAAUUCAUGUACCCAUCUGCUAGGACAGAGGACCGCACAUGAUCUACACUGCUGAAUCAGAGUGUAAAGCUCCACCCCCGGGGAAGUUACCAGGGCAUUCCCAAGUAAACCUAAAGGUAUAUUAACCCGCUGAACUCCGUGUUUUGUGGGCUUUCUGCCAUCCAUGAUGGAUCAAGACUGCAACCAUCACUUUGACCAACGGACAUUGAAAUACCAACAAUCAAGUCUUGUCACUGGAUCCACGGGUGGUGAUAUCUUUCUACUCUUAUCCUUCCUUUCUUUUCCUUAUAUUUUCUUAAGUGAUAUUUUUAUGCUUUUAUAUUAUUAUAUUACUUUAGAUAAUAAUAACUAAAAGGGCUACAUACCUGCUCUUCAUUGCAACCAGACUGUUCUUAAAUAAACCCUACAUACAUAUAUAUAAACCUACA